This 412-nucleotide long non-coding RNA is filed under the name Homo sapiens (human). Its description in RNAcentral is "non-protein coding lnc-ZNF257-6:1". The record is from RNAcentral. Lineage: Eukaryota; Metazoa; Chordata; Mammalia; Primates; Hominidae.
AGUUUCUACUUACAAUGGUGACAUGGAAAAAAUACUGCUGGUCACAGGCACCAUGGGACACUAACAGAGCUUCUGAAACAGACACCCAAAGCAUUAGAAAGAAAAACAGCUCUCCAUUUGAGUAACACUGUAUUGAGAAAAAAAAAAAGAAGUUCAAAGCAUCUUAAGAAAAAACUUAGAUUAGAUGAAAGAUUGAUCAAGUCAACCAAAAAUACUCCCCUUAAACAAAUUUCUCUCUAAACGAAGUGCACAGCUACUCUCAGCACAAGAAACAUGAGCAUUAUGAAAAAAAUAUAUAUUCUCAGCAGAAUUUUCUAAGGUUUCUCUUCCAUGUCUGCUGCUGUCUCAUCUCCUAGCCAUUGGAUGGGAGUUCCAUAUUGGAAUACAUCUCACAAUUUCCACAUGCACCUUU